ACUCAUACCUUGCAUAGGAAAUACCAGCUCAUAAAAGUGGGUUUCCCAGAGGGAGACUCAUCCAUUGCACUUUGGGUGUGCAGCUGAUCCUUGCAAUUUCCCCAAAUGUGGGAAACUCAAUUGCAUAGUUUGUGUUAAUGGGGAUUGCACUUGUGAUUGCUAA
Molecule: small nuclear RNA, 163 nt
Filed under: Pogona vitticeps (central bearded dragon)
Lineage: Eukaryota; Metazoa; Chordata; Lepidosauria; Squamata; Agamidae
Description: U1 spliceosomal RNA (ENSPVIG00000022110.1)
Rfam family: U1 spliceosomal RNA
About the family: U1 is a small nuclear RNA (snRNA) component of the spliceosome (involved in pre-mRNA splicing). Its 5' end forms complementary base pairs with the 5' splice junction, thus defining the 5' donor site of an intron.
Source: RNAcentral